This 165-nucleotide small RNA is filed under the name Pan troglodytes (chimpanzee). Its description in RNAcentral is "processed transcript". The record is from RNAcentral. Lineage: Eukaryota; Metazoa; Chordata; Mammalia; Primates; Hominidae.
AAGAUGAAGAGGUUGACCAGCGGGGAGAGCAAACCCCGGGGCAGCUCAGUGACCUUGUUGUGGUCCAGGUAGAGGUUCGGCAUGGCCCGAAACGAAUUGGCAGCCAGCACCGGGAAGUUGUUGCGCUGUUGCUUAUGGAACCACAGAGAACAGUCCCGUGACAUU